GGGGUUGUGGCUCAGAGGUAGAGUGCUCGCCUACCAGGCGUGACGCACCGGGUUUGAUCCUCAACACCA
This 69-nucleotide transfer RNA is filed under the name Marmota monax (woodchuck). Its description in RNAcentral is "tRNA.Gly". The record is from RNAcentral. Lineage: Eukaryota; Metazoa; Chordata; Mammalia; Rodentia; Sciuridae.